RNAcentral lists this ribosomal RNA (511 nucleotides) under uncultured Ferribacterium sp. Its description in RNAcentral is "bacterial SSU rRNA". It matches the Rfam family "Bacterial small subunit ribosomal RNA", at positions 1 to 523 of the family's 1533-position model. Lineage: Bacteria; Pseudomonadati; Pseudomonadota; Betaproteobacteria; Rhodocyclales; Azonexaceae. The record is from RNAcentral.
UAGAGUUUGAUCCUGGCUCAGAUUGAACGCUGGCGGUAUGCUUUACACAUGCAAGUCGAACGGUAGGCUUGCUCUAGUUAGUGGCGAACGGGUGAGUAAUAUAUCGGAACAUAUCCGGAAGUGGGGGAUAACGUAGCGAAAGUUACGCUAAUACCGCAUAUGCCCUGAGGGGGAAAGGGGGGGAUCGCAAGACCUCUCGCUUUCGGAGUGGCCGAUAUCGGAUUAGCUAGUAGGUGAGGUAAAGGCUCACCUAGGCGACGAUCCGUAGCUGGUCUGAGAGGACGACCAGCCACACUGGAACUGAGACACGGUCCAGACUCCUACGGGAGGCAGCAGUGGGGAAUUUUGGACAAUGGGGAAAGCCUGAUCCAGCCAUACCGCGUGAGUGAAGAAGGCCUUCGGGUUGUAAAGCUCUUUCAGCCGGAAAGAAAUCGCACUUCUUAAUACGAAGUGUGGAUGACGGUACCGGAAGAAGAAGCACCGGCUAACUACGUGCCAGCAGCCGCGGUAA